GCUCCAGUAGCUCAGUGGAUAGAGCAACUGCCUUCUAAGCAGUUGGUCGCUGGUUCGAGUCCAGCCUGGGGCG
This 73-nucleotide transfer RNA is filed under the name Leptolyngbyaceae cyanobacterium RM2_2_4. RNAcentral describes it as "tRNA-Arg". It matches the Rfam family "tRNA". Rfam says of the family: Transfer RNA (tRNA) molecules are approximately 80 nucleotides in length. Their secondary structure includes four short double-helical elements and three loops (D, anti-codon, and T loops). Lineage: Bacteria; Bacillati; Cyanobacteriota; Cyanophyceae; Leptolyngbyales; Leptolyngbyaceae. RNAcentral also lists the same sequence under 2 other names. The record is from RNAcentral.